Long non-coding RNA from Parasteatoda tepidariorum (common house spider), 656 nucleotides. RefSeq lists it as uncharacterized. The record is from RefSeq and is a predicted model, not a curated record. NCBI's taxonomy places the organism in Eukaryota, Metazoa, Arthropoda, Arachnida, Araneae, Theridiidae.
GUUAAAUGCGUGCGUUACCGACUUAACUCAUUUUCCUUUUUAACAGAUAAUAUUAGCGCUUUUACCUACUAUUCCAGUGCCGCUAGGUUUCGCUUUUAAAAACAAAGCAUCACGCAUCGGUUGUUUCACUGUCAUAAACUGAAAAAGAUUUCCAUUUUUAAUAUGUCUGUUCGCUGACCCUGAUUUCGUCUUUCGCUAGCUUGAAGCGCAUUUUUGUUGCACUUCGAUGCAGAUAGUUAAUGAAAAUGAAAACUCAAAAGAUGCAUUUUAAGGAUUUCGACUUGAGUCUUGCCAUCUUCAAAUGAUUCGGUGUCCAUUCAGGCUUUGAUUCCAAGCAACCAUGAGGAAGAGUGGACAUUAAACCUGAAGAAUUUCCUUUACUGUCAAAGUUAAAGACUCGUGAACAAAGAAUUAUGUGUUUAAAAAAGAUCUGGAGACUGUCAACCGCUGAAGCAAAUAAAGAUUGCUUCUCAGCUUUAAAGUAAAUUGUAGCAACUUAAUGUUUUGUCAUAUGCUAGUGUGGGAAAAAGUAACGACAAAUAAUUCCCCGUGAAUUACUGGCAAGCUGAAAGUUAUUGCUUUUGAUUUUUCCUACUGACAUAAAUGUUAUAACGCGUGAAAAACAUGGCUAAAUGUCUCUCAAAAUUAAAAAGAUU